This 227-nucleotide long non-coding RNA is filed under the name Elaeis guineensis (African oil palm). Its description in RNAcentral is "long non-coding RNA (EGUI_LNC033646)". Lineage: Eukaryota; Viridiplantae; Streptophyta; Magnoliopsida; Arecales; Arecaceae. The record is from RNAcentral.
AGAUUACAACCAAAUAAAUCAAACAUGCAUAUUAGAUAGAAAUUAUACCUUCCUAAAGAUGAUGAUCCGAUAUGAGGAUGGUCUUCACAAGACACCAAAAUAGAUAUCCUCCAAUAGUGAUCUACGCAGACUUGAUCAGGAUCCUUCCCAAUUUGAUGUAGUGCUGCAACCUUCUUCAUAAGUACACUGCCAACUUUCUUUUUUCAAGAACAGAUUAUACCACCACC